Molecule: long non-coding RNA, 1966 nt
Filed under: Homo sapiens (human)
Lineage: Eukaryota; Metazoa; Chordata; Mammalia; Primates; Hominidae
Description: HSALNT0372001
Source: RNAcentral
GGAAGUGGGAGCCACAUACCCCGAGCUGGCGGCUUGAGCCUGUGGUAUCUAGGCUCACCUCACUGCGGUUGGUGGAGGUGAUGGAGGUUGCAGCUUGGCCAGCAUGGUAGAAAGGUGGCAGGGCACGUCUGGCUUUUACCACCCAGUUGCUUCGAGCCAGGAGAUGGAGGAGUCAUCUGUUGCACGCUGGAGGCUGGAGCCUGCAGAUGGCAUGGUUCUGUGGCUCACCUCGCUGCAGUUGGUGGCAGAGACAGAGACUGCAGCUUGACCAGAGUGGUGGAGUGAUAUGUAUCUCAAGAGCACUCCACAACAAAGAUUCUGCCUGCAAUCCUCCACUUCAAGAUUCCUUUGCAGAUGGACUCCCAUACAGCUGUGGUUCCUCUAAGUAGUUAUAACUACAUCGAAUCAGAGGAAGGAAGCGAGCAAUCAGAGGAAGCAACUAUAUUGAGGAGUGUUGGCUUCUUUAGAAAGCAGGCAGCACCGUUUCAGUGGGUAUUCAGGUCUUGUUUUCAGGUCUAGUGGAAGUCCUAGCAUAUAAUUAUUAAAAUCCUUAGUGCUUAGAACUAUAAAAAAUAGGUUGGGGCUUUCAUUUAAAGAUAACUAAAUAUGACUGAGCUUUUUCUUAACUUCUGUUGUUGCUGUCCUUCUUGGAGAUUCUCCCAGCUCUCUAAGACUCUAAUAAAUCUUCCUAUUUAAGCGAAACACACAGAUUAGUAAUGAAAGGGACACUGAUAUAGGUUAAAAACUACACUUGUAUAGAAAGAGUGCCCCAAUUUGGUACCUAGCGAUACGGGGGUGGAGCAGAGGAAGGCCAGCUCCUAGAAGGAGAGGAAGAACUAAGUAGGUGGGGAGAGAGAAAGAGCGAGAACCUCAGAGAAAGCCUGGGAGGAAGCUGUGGGGAGUGAAUGUAAUAGCAAGAGUCCCAGAAAUGUCAAUGAAUCUUUCCAAAUACUUAACAUUAACGGUGCUAUUCAUAAAAGUACGCUGCCUUGAAAUGCAGUAUCCCAUGCGAUUAGAUCUUACUGUAGCAGCCGCAGAUACCAGCUAGAUCACUUCUAUUGUCCAUUACCACCUAUGAUGAUUAACAUUGAGUGUCAAUUUGAUUGGAUUGAAGGAUAUGAAGUAUUGUUCCUGGGUGUGUCUGUGAGGGUGUUGCCAAAGGAGAUUAACAUUUUAGUCAGUGGACUGGGGAAGGCAGAUGCACCCUCAAUCUGGGUGGGCAUCACCUAAUCAGCUGCCAGUGUGGCCAGAAUAAAAGCAGACAGAAGAACCUGGAGAAACUAGACUGGCUUAGUUUCCCAGCCUCCAUCUUUCUCCCUGCUGGAUCCUUCCUGUCCUCGGAUAUCGGACUCCAAGUUAUUCGGCUUUGGGACUCUUGGACCUUCAACCACAGACUGAAGGCUGCACUGUCAGCUUUUUAAAGAGACUGUGGGUGGAAGGGAGAAAUAAUUGCAUUGAUGAUGUUUUUGCAGGCUAUCGUGUGAUAAUUUUAUUUAGCAGCUGCUGUCUCUCAAAAUAUUGUAUGAUGUUAGAAAUAAUGGGUCAUGUAUAUUCCUAGAUCAAGAAAUCGAUUCCAAUAUAUGUUAUCAAAGAUGAUUCUGUCUUGAAUUUGAACAGCAGACCAGGGACACUGGCUUCCUUAUUAUUGGAAAUAAAUGGAAAUGUAGAAAAAUAUUAAUAUGUUUCUAAAAUGUAUGUUUAAGUAUAUAAUUUUUCCAAGAAUAUCUAUACAUAAAUGUAUUUGAAUAAAUGCAAUUAACAACAUAUUUUCAUAUAUAUUUGCAUAUUACAAUACAUAUAUAAGCUUAUUUCUAGUUAAUAUAUAGUAUAGAGCAAUUACAUUUUAAAGUUUUAAUUCUAUGAUUAGAUUCAUUUAACAAAACUAUAACGCUGAUGCUGCUGAUAAACGCUAUUUGAGUUGACUUAAGCAUAUGAGGAGAGAAAUAAAUUAGAUUUUUGGCAAGAA